AACUGGUUGUGAUACUACUUCCUUCCUCAUGGCACUCGUCAAGCAUACUAAUCCCAUGACUCUAUGCAUGGUGGCUACUUCGUUGGCGCUUCUUGCCAUCAUGUCUUCAAACACCCGAUCUUGCGAAGCUUGGAACGGCUUCAGCGGCCGGGUUGGGUUACUGUCACUGAACGGGGACUUGCCGCAAGAAUCACCACCACCACCAGCAUCAAGGGCACCACCACGGGCAGAACCGUGCUUUUUGCCCACUAAUCCAGACUAUUGUACGGACCCGAUCUGCGUGCAUGUAUGCGAGGUACAUGGAAUUAGCAACAGCCCCGCCUACUGCAGGCAAGAAGCAGGCUAUGACAUGUGCUGCUGCCCAAAUCCUAAUUGACGCCGUUGUAAUGUUCCCAUCGAUCUGUGUGAUGAAAAUUCAAUAAAUUUUCUUUAUCUAUAAC
Long non-coding RNA from Setaria italica (foxtail millet), 440 nucleotides. RefSeq lists it as uncharacterized. Lineage: Eukaryota; Viridiplantae; Streptophyta; Magnoliopsida; Poales; Poaceae. The record is from RefSeq and is a predicted model, not a curated record. The transcript has 2 exons.